AUGGAUGACAUGAGCGAGAGGACAAUGGUGCCACUUGUUGAGCAUAGGGUUGUGGUUGAUGCCCCCAAUGCUUAUCGCCAACCACGUCCCCGUGUACCAUCUAUUGAAGCAAAUAAGGUUGAGUUGUAUGCCCCGAAUGCUUCUAGCCAACCACCAACUAGCCAAGCAAAUGAAGUUGAGGUGAUUGCUAGUGACGAAGUAAUUCAAGAGGAUGAAGAUGCUUAUGAUGACGACGAAGAGCAAGAGGCCAUAACGCAAAAGGACAUGGAUCCUGAGUUGCCUUUUAGGCAUCAAUAUGCGUAUGAAUCGGAUGACGAGGGUCCAGUUGAACAGUUGGACGAGGAUGGAUUCACAAAGGAGGAAAACCAAAUCCACUUUGAGUUGACGGGCUUAGAAAAAAGAACUCAUUUGUUUAAAGAUCUCAGCCUUGCCCAUAAAGCUGUUGUUGACGGUGGAAUGAGAAUGGCGACGAUUGAGCCAACACCAUGCCCGGAUCCAGGAGAACCAAGGGUGGAGAAUGAGGACGAGAAUGCUUAUUUGAAGAAAGGAGUGAAGUUUCUGAGCUUGCCUAUGCUGAAGUUUUGGUUGGCCGACUAUGCCAUUCGGAACCAUAGGCCAAUUUAUGUUGAGCACUCCGACAUGAAGUUGCGUUACACCGUGAAGUGUGAGCAAGAACGAUGCCCAUGGAAGGUUCGUGCAAGAAAGCUUAAAGAGACCGAAGAAUGGGUGUUAAGAAGUUGUGUUGCCACUCAUAGGUGCAAACCGCCAUCUAAACGACUUCGAACGACACACCGUCAACUCACAUCUGAGUAUCUCGGAUACAAAUGGAUGAAAGACAUAGGCUUUGAUUCCACUGUGAAAGUGAUGUUUCUCAUGCGGACGGUGAAAAACCAAUUUGGUUAUGAAGUCAAGUAUGGGAAAGCAUGGAAGGCAAAGGCAAAUGCUAUUAGGAUGUUGUAUGGUGGUUAUGAAGAAGCAUACAACCAGCUCCCGAGGUUGUUGGGCGUGAUUGCACAUAAGAACCCGGGCAUGUUUCAUGUGGUCGAGGAUCACGAGGGAGUGUUCCACCGUGCCUUCUGGAGUUAUGGACAAUGUGUGGAGGCGUUUCAGCAUUGUCGUCCGGUCUUGUCUGGUUGCAUUUGCUUUGGUGCCUUCCGAGCACCAAGACAACUAGGAGUUGAUCAUGGGUCAUGUUAG
RNAcentral lists this ribosomal RNA (1197 nucleotides) under Triticum aestivum (bread wheat). Its description in RNAcentral is "partial small subunit ribosomal RNA". Lineage: Eukaryota; Viridiplantae; Streptophyta; Magnoliopsida; Poales; Poaceae. The record is from RNAcentral.